This 72-nucleotide transfer RNA is filed under the name Bos taurus (domestic cattle). It matches the Rfam family "tRNA". From Rfam's summary of the family: Transfer RNA (tRNA) molecules are approximately 80 nucleotides in length. Their secondary structure includes four short double-helical elements and three loops (D, anti-codon, and T loops). Lineage: Eukaryota; Metazoa; Chordata; Mammalia; Artiodactyla; Bovidae. The record is from Rfam by way of RNAcentral. RNAcentral also lists the same sequence under 5 other names.
UCCCUGGUGGCUCAGAUGGUAAAGAAGCCACCUGCAAUGUGGGAGACCUGGGUUCAAUCCCUGGUUUGGGAA